Molecule: ribosomal RNA, 441 nt
Filed under: uncultured bacterium
Lineage: Bacteria
Description: partial 16S ribosomal RNA
Rfam family: Bacterial small subunit ribosomal RNA
Source: RNAcentral
CCUACGGGUGGCAGCAGUGGGGAAUAUUGCGCAAUGGGGGAAACCCUGACGCAGCAACGCCGCGUGAGUGAGGAAGUAUCUCGGUAUGUAAAGCUCUAUCAGCGGGGAAGAAGGGAGACGGUACUCGACUAAGAAGCACCGACGAACUACGCACCGGCAGCAGCGGUAAUACGUAGGGGGCGAGCGUUAUCCGGAUUUACUGGGCGUAAAGGGAGCGUAGACGGCGUGGCAAGUCUGAAGGGAAAGCCCGUGGCUCAACCUGGGAACCGCUUUGGAAACUGCGAGGCUGGAGUGUGUGAGAGGUUAGUGGAAUUCCAGGUGUAGCGGUGAAAUGCGUAGAUAUCAGGAGGAACAUCAGUGGCGAAGGCGACUUACUGGCCCGUGACUGACGUUGAGGCUCGAAAGCGUGGGUAGCGAACAGGAUUAGAUACCCGUGUAGUC